UUUUUCCUGUUGUCACAAGUUGUUUCAGGCUGGUCCUCCUUCUCAUUACUGGGUCUGACCUCACUCCUCACCUACAGGCCCCUUCCGAGCCAUGGGGGUGGGUGUUUUGUGUUGGAGAUGACCCAGAGUGGGAGCCUUCAUCUCUUAAGUAGAUUCUCAGAAGGGCGGGUCAUAAACUAUCACCUAUGGUGUCCAUAUCAUUAGCUCAAAGUGGUUUACAAACCCAGUGUCAUGAAUUCUCAGGUAGAGGAUACCAAGGUAAUCCCACUAGGCAACUGAGAAGAGAGGCCAGGAAAGUCCAGUGAUGUCAUCGUCAUGGUGCCCACUCCCAGAAUUCAUUAUGUGCUCAGACACACAUGGGGCCCUAGUGGCUACUUAACAAAGAGAGGGCUUGCUUAUGAGGCUGGGCAGGGUGGGACUGCAGACCAAGCCGGGCCUCUUCCAGCUCCUCUUCCAGUUCAAAGCCCAGAAGAUGCAAUGUAACCAGCUCCCCCAGACUCUUAUUACCAUGGAUUAAUUUCCUGACAUGACAGACAGACUGUACCUCAAACUGAGCCCAAAUAAGAGCACUGAGACAGGUAACCAAUAUAUCCAUCCCUCCAUAUCCACAGGAGAUAUAGCCAAAGCUCCCAGUGGAUAGCAGAAGCUGGGAAAGGUCUGGACAUGGAGUAUACUGUGUUUUCCUGUGCAUGUCUGUCUAUUAUACAGCUUAAUGCAUUUAUUAGCUACUCUAAGAAACUAACAGUGAUUGCUAAUAGAGCAAUUGUAACAAUGUACUAUAACACAUGUUAAGUGAAUAUGAUCUUUCCUUCUCAGAACGCUUCAUUUGACUGUAAGGUUUAGGGCUGAUUUUGGUUAACAGGAGCCAUGCAGAGUCAAAUUGUGGUUGAAAGGGAUUAUUAAACCCCAGGGUGAGAGCUCCAAGACUCUUCCUGAAUACCCUGUAUUUUCUUUAACCUUAACUUUGCUGGUAGAUUUAACUAAGUGUAUCUGAUUUAGACUCACAUUAAAUAAAAGAAAGAAAUUUCCUGCCUAUAUCUGAAUGUUUAUACGGUAGGUGGCAAGGGAAGUGAUCAAAGCUAAAGUCUCUCGUGACAUGAAUCACCCAGAAUUAAAUGCUUAGGAUGCUUUCAAGCGAUCUUAAAUAACUUUGCUAUCAGCAUACACGUGACUCUGGUUUAGAAAAUAACUCUGAGCUGCAGAAACUGUUUCCACAACCCAGAGGUUCCCUUCCUGGGCCACGGCUAAAUGAUUCACCUUGACCACGAGCUGACAUGGGUUCCAGCUUACAUGUCUUUAUGUCAUCAGACAGCAGCAGCGAGCCUCCUGUUUUCUUUGAAAAAGGAAAACUGUACCUUGUCUUUCUCCAGUCCGAAGGUCUUAUCAGCGAAGGACCGGAAGAAAAAUAAUCAACUUAAUGCACCUUUUCCAGUUGGUGGGAAGAGACACCCGCCAGGGAAACGACAACCCACCUUUCCACUCCCCAAAGAAAACCCCAAAUGGCCGAAAGAGAUGACAGGAAGAGGCUUUAAAUAGUGAAGGACAGGGAAUACCAGCUUUCUGAGUCACGGCCUCUCGCUGGAGAGGUGAGAAACCCUUGCGGGUUCAGGCUCCAAGAGCAUUUACAGCUGCUUCUUGUUGGGAGAGCCCUGACUCUCAGGCUCAGGUCUGGAUCACGGAAGCUGUGUCUGCACCCCAUCACUAGAGGGAGGCCAUCACAUUUCAGUCAGAGGGAAAGAAGAAAUACAGAGGAAGCCCAGGAGACAACAGAGGCAAGGUCCUCCCUUCUAGGAUGGCAGUGGCAGUAUUUCCUAAUGCUGAUGCUAUAAUAAAAUACCGGAGGCUGGGUAUGUUAUUAAGGAGAAAGAGCUUACUUAGCUCUGGAGGCUGAAAGCACAGAGAUCACAUGAUUCCAUAGGAAUGGUGGGAAUGUAUGUGGACAAGAUCACAUCUGGAAUCCGGAAGCUAGAGAAAUUUAAGGAGCAGAAAGUGUUCUUUUUGAAAGAACUUAAUCUCGUGGGACCUGAUUUAGGUCCCAGGAGAACUUUAGUCCCCUAAGCCUGAGGCCUAACGACCUUAUGCUAGGCUCCAACUUUUAAAGGUCCCACUGCCACCCAACAUGGCCGCAUGGAACUUCUAGCACACAAACCAACCUCUAGGGGAAGGAGUUGAGUCAAAGCAGUGAGAGGCUAAGCAAAUGGAGAUAGCACAGAGGGGUUGGGGAGAAGCAUGAGUUGCAUCUCCUUCCUCCACGGGUCCUGUAGGGGCUGAGUUCUUCCUGGUCUCGGUCAACACCCACUCUCUGGUCUCUAUGUCAGCAUGGCAAACACAGAUUACUCUCUUAAUAGCGAUUUGACACAGAUCCAUCCAUCCUGAGGCUGCCACCCACUCUUUGGUCUCAUGUAACACGCCUGGCUUCAACUUCUGUCAGUACGCUGGGGAUCCCGAGUUCUAACCUACCUGUCACAGAGUUCCUGCCCUCUCCCAACUGUCUUCCUGUACUCAGUAGCUCACUACAUUUGAAGGACCCGUAGGGAAUAAUUCACCUCUACCUUCUCUGGAUAAACUGCUCUCCAAAUAGUCUUCUAUCCCAUUCCCAGGGAGCAUCCUACCCAGGACCCCUUCAAUGAGUUUCACUUGCAAAGGCCACCUUGCUUCCUGCUGUCAGGACUAGGAUCUCAAGCUGGGUAAAUUCUACAGAUGCUUACUUAGCCCACGGUCCUGAGGCAUUGCAUCAGCAGCCUCUGGUGAGGGUCUUCCUGUUGGAUCAUGGCAUACGUGCAAGCAUCAUGUGGCCGGACAGGGAAACGUGCUAACCUCAGGCUCCUAUGGAGCCACUUACGUCAUGGUAGGCUCACUCUGACGGCCUUAUCUAGUCUUAGUUACUGCCAAGGGCGCCAUCUGCAAAGGCCUCUAGCAUAUGGCUUUAGAGAUCCAGUUUUGGCCUGAGUUUUGGCGGGAAUGAACACCCAGAUGCAAACCAUAGCUAGUCAAACACCGAUCCUCCACCCUUUGUCUUUCUUCUGAUCACUGUGGGAAGGCAGGCCACCAGCAUCUCUCCUCUUGCCAGGCCACUGUCCCCAUCUCCCUUAGCCCAGAUGUAACGUGAGGAAGCAAAUCUGAUGACAUCAUUCCCCGCUUGAUUGCUACGCCUGCUUCCCCAUCACCCACAGGACAGAGUUAGUUGGGUUGAGGUUCUGUAAGAGUUUCAUGAUCUGGCCACUGGCCGAAAAUCCCCCCUUCCCAUACUUUCAUCCUUUCGUAUAACCACCCUCUCGGCUCUUUUCAGAAUUCCCUUUCUCACAACCUUCUCUCCUUUUCUCCUUGUCUGUGUAAUUAACAACGAUCCCUGAGGUAAAGCGGUUCCUCAUGUCCGCUAGCCUUCUGGCUAAAAUGGCUCUCUCACAUUCUGCACUUGAUGCUUGCGAUGGCUUCCUGCUAUUGCCUGCCUUAUCCUCUGGCCCCCAGAGUCUAAUCUCUGUGUGCCAGGGGCUGGAUUCACUACCAUGCCUGGCCUCCUAGACAGAGGCGAUGAGCUUCUCCAGCGGGGCAUCUGCCAUGCCCUCGCCUCGACCUAGAAGAGCCCUGUGCGUCACAAUUUGAUGCUUUGCUUCCUCUUGGAACUCAAGAUACACUGGUGUGGAUAGGUGUGUGCAUGCACUCAUGCAUACGGUGCCAGGGAUCAAAUCUUGUGCACGUUAAGUAUGUGCUGGGCCACUGAGCCACUCCUCUAGUUCCUUAUCGUAUUAUUUACGCAUUUAACUUACGUUUCUAUGAGUAUGAGUGCUUUGUCUGGAAGUGUGUGGGCCAUGUACGGUACUCAUGGAGGCCAGAAGAGGGCACCAGAACCUCUGGACUGGAGUUCAUAGGUGCUAAUGAGGCACCAUAUGGGCACUGGGAACUAAACCCAGGUUCUCGGCAAGAGCUGCCAGCUCCCACUUACCGAGUCAUUUGCUUGCCCUCCAGCCCCUCAUUUUAAAAUAAGCAACUUGGCAUUUAUUCCCCAUGGCAUUUGUGAAGCCCCAUGUCCCUAACUACAGACACCUAAUGCUUGUGGGAUAGACAGCUGCUGCUCCCUGACCAGAUCAUGAGCCUUCCCUCUUUUCUAGUUCUUUCUGGAAGAUGGACGGAUACACUCUUCUUCAGAAAUGAAACAGAGCAAGACAACCAUCACAGAAGUUGUCCUCACUCCCCGCCUCCAGCUCCCACUACCUGCCUGCUGUUGGCUGCCUGGGGCCUCCUGAAAGGGUGCACCCCAUCUGAGGCCACUACAACCCAUCAACGGCCCAGUUUCAGUCCCUACCCCUCUGCCGCGCCGGUUCUCAAUCAGGGGUGAUUUUGUCUCCUAGGCCACAUUCCCAGAAGUUAUUUCUGGUUGCCGUGAUGGGCAGCGACCCUUGGUAUCUAGUAGGAGAAGGGCAAACUGCUGUAAAUCUUUAUCUCACAAGCAUUACGUUUAUCCCACAAUAACCAGUAAGCCUACCCACAAAGUUACCCGGUCCAAAGCAUGGCAGUCCCAUGGCUGAGAAACCCUGCUCUGUUGCAGAUCUUAACUGAGUGCAGGGGUCUUAAGAAUGUGGUCAGGGUAAAAGGUUUCUGAAAACACAUCGAUCAGAAAUCCAUUGGAAAUCAAAUGUGUAGCCAGGUGGUGGUGGAGUGCAUCUUUAAUCCCAGAGGCAGGUAAGUCUCUUGAGUUUAAGGCCAGCCUGGUCCAGGAUAGCCAGGGCUACACAGAGAAAUCCCUGUAUCUCAAGAAAAACAAACAAACAAACAAACAAGCAAAAAUAGGUCAAAUGUGUAAUGAACACCCUUGAUGCGUCUCUGGCACUGUCCAACCUGUUGAUCCUGCAUCAGCCUUGCAACGCUGGCUCUGAACACACACUCUACACAUGUAACAUGUUCACCUUGCCACACCUCUCAACACUAACAGCCUCUGCCCCGAACACUUUAGCUUAGAUUCGGCCCUAAGGCACACUCUGAGGGGCGGUGUCUUUUUUUUUUUUUAUAAUACAUGUGAAGCUGCCCUUAUAGAAACAUCGUGCUUCCUUGCAGAGAAUAAAGCUUUCAAUAUCUUCCCAUCACCACUCCUUAGCAUGUAAACAUCAAGUCACUACAUCCCUGGAUUUUAUUCUAUCAGACAGACAAGCACGCCCAUCUCAUUAGUACGCAAAUUUGCUUCCCUUUAAAUAAGUGGUAAAUUACAUGCAUGCUGAAGGAUUGUUUUGAAAUACACUUCCUUAUGAUUACCAAUAAAUUCUUUGGGAACUGAUUUCAUAUACCAAUAUACCUGGGGUUGCAUACAAAUUUUUUUGGGUAAAAAGGCAUCAGGACGGAAAACCCUUGAAAGGUCCCAAUCUAUUGAAUCAGCUCAUAGUGAUUCACUGCUGACUUUACUGCUUCAUCCCGGGCCCUUUGGCAACACCUCUGACCAGAGAGGCUGCUGUGCAGCUACUCUCCUCCCCCAGUCUCCAGGAGACUCCAGUCUUCCUCUUCCAAUGAAGCAUUCCUGCUCUUCUUGCAGACAAGAUGGCACCUUCGCCUUCAAGGGCAGAGCUGUGCACACCUGUGAGCUGCUUGGGUUUCCUACUUAUCAUGGACAGAGCCUGGAUAAACUGCUCUUCCUCUCUAGGCCUUAAUCUGUCCAUCUCUGCAAUGGAGCCAAGCAUCUUGCCAGUUUUGAUCAGAUGUCCUCGGGUUUGGGGCUGAGAAUGGGCAGAGGAGGAGCUAGGGGAGAGAGGCUUCAGUGUCUCCUUCCUCUGCAAACAGCCUGCCAUGGACUGAUACUGCUUAAUAAUUAAAAGCAAACUCAUUCCAGCCAUGCCCUGCAACCUCAGUGUACUGUGGCCCCAAUACCCCGGCUUUUUCCUUUCCACGUCUACUGUGAGGUAACCUGGUCACAAAUCCAAGGUUUAGGAAGCCUGAGAUGUCUCUGACCCACUGAGUAGGACGUAGUUUCUCUGCUGUGCUGUUGCACCUUAUCUGUCCUGCAGAGGGUUUACAGGAGUAUGUCUGCAUGACGAACUCCUCAGUGACACAAAAGACAUUUAUGUGUUCACAGCAUUGGGUAUAGUCUCUGGCAUACAGUAGGGCUCGGCAGACUUUUAAAGAUGAUAUAAGUCAUAAGCAUCUAAGUUCUGGGGGUUUCGGUUACAGGGCUGAUCAUGAACUCCGGGUUUGUAGGGAAGGCUUCAGGGUGCAGAAGGGUUACUCUGGGAAGGUGAAAUGAUAGUUUUUAUUUUUACCUCAGAAGUAUUCCUCUUUGCCUCUUCUCUCAGCAGACAAGGUAGAAUAGAAUCUCUAACUUUAAUUAUCACUCUGUGUGUGUGUGUGUGUGUGUGUGUGUGUGUGUGUGUGAUAUGUGCGUACAAGUGCAUGGGUAUGCCGUGCACAUGAGGGUAGGUGAGAGGACCGCCUUCAGGCCUCUGCUCUCUCCUUCCCCCAAGGGAUUGAAGUCACUGGAGUCAUUGAAGAUGGCCCAAUGUGUCAGGCUCACACAGCUGAUGCACUUACUACAUGUUGGGCCACCUCCCUGGCUUAGCACCGUAAUUUACUAUCCUUGCCCCUGACACCCCAUCCUGUCAUUUUCAGUUUUCUCUCACACUGCCAUUCUCUCAAGCUAAGACCUAUUAGCCUGGUUGCCAGUGAGAGGGAGGGCUGCUGUGAAGAUGGACAGGCACCAGGCUUCCUCACCUGCUCCCACCACUCAUAGCCAUCAGCUGGGACACAAGCCAGUCACGUGCGUCCUUGACUACCUUCCACAUGGGAGUGUCUCCCUGAGGCACUGGUAUAGCAAGGUGGAGUCUACCUGCUGUGAAGGGUCUUGGGAAUGGCCUAUGAAAGAUGCUUUUAACUAGCAACAAUAAAGCAUGAAAUAUUUUUGGUAAGUAGGAAAAGGCCCCUCACUUAAAGAGAUUAAAUAGGUUACAGUUAAGAGAGUAUUUUUGGCUGGCUGCUCUGGGAGCCAUGACCCGGGGGGAGGGGACCUCAGCCUGAAGUUCUAUAAUGCACUCUGAGACAGUAACCAGGAGAAACAUUGUAUAAACGCCAUUGGUGUUGAAUGGAAAUUUGUUCUGGAAUAAUUAUAUAGCUAGGCAUCAACGCAUGGAAAAAAAAACAGAACAGAAAAUUUUGACAGCCUGCAUAGUGGACACUUCCAGAGUUCUUAGGGCCAUUGGACCGAGUAGCUCAUAAACAGGUAGGUGGGCGUCUCUCUGAAGGAGCAUUUGAGUUGUUAAAACAGAAACUUAGUGAGUUAAUACGGUUACACACAGAACACACUGAUUUAAGCAAGGCUUUUGUUUUGUUUUUGAGGCAGGGUCUCUUUAUGUAGCCCUGGUUGUCCUGGAACUUGCUUUGUAGAUCAUGGUAGCCUUGAACUUGCAGAAAUUCAGCUACCUCUGCCUCCUGAGUGCUUGAAUUAAGACUAUGCACCGCCACAUCUGGACUGACAAAGCUGUUCUUAGUGCAGUCAGUCAAGGUGAAGGCCAAGGGUAGAAGGCAGGCACAGAUGUCUAUAUUUCUGUGUGUAUAUGAUGUUAAGGAUGGAGCAGAGGGUCUUGUGCAUGCUGGCACACAUGCUACCAUUAAGCUGCACCCCAAUUCAACGGUCGUGCAGUGUGAUGGAUGGAAUUUAUUUUUGUCUACUUGACAUCUGGAAGAGGGAAUCUUAACUACGAGAUGGCCUCCAUUCAAUUGCCUGCAGGCAAGUCUGUUGUGUUUUAUAAAAAUAAAGAAGGAAUAUGUUUGGUGGAUGUGUAGUCAGAUGUGGGGUAAGGGGGUGCCUCUGCAGGCUGAGGUAUCCCUUCCCCCUGAGGGACCAGCUACAUGACUAUAGUAUAAAACAGAGUUUAUUCAGGGCAUGGGGAAGGGAGGUGAGAGGGUAGUAGUGAGAGAGAGAGAGAGAGAGAGAGAGAGAGAGAGAGAGAGAGAAAGAGAGAGAACGAGACCUCAGGCCUGCCAUGAGGAGAGAGGAGAGAGAGUGGAGGAGAAUGAGGGGAGAGGAGCAGUGGGACGAGACAGAGCUAGAGCAAGAAGGCAAGAGAGCCCAAAUGCUCAAAUUACCCAAGAUGCACAGACCACAUGAAACUCAAGAAGGAUGACCAAAAUGCGGAAGCUUCACUCCUUCUUUAAAAGGGGAACAAGAAUACCCUUGGCAGGGAAUAGGGAGGCAAAGUUUAGAACAGAGACUAAAGGAACGGUCAUUCAGAGUCUGACCCACAUGUGGCUCAUACAUAUACAGCCACCAAACUAAAGAUGGAUGAAGCAAAGAAGUGCAGGCUGACAGGAACAGGAUGUAGAUCUCUCCUGAGAGACACAGCCAGAAUAUGGCAAAUACAUAGGCGAAUGCCAGCAGCAAACCACUGAACUGAGAACAGGACCCCCGUUGAAGGAAUCAGAGAAAGGACUGAAAGAGCUUGAAGGGGCUUGAGACCCCAUAUGAACAACAAUGCCAAGCAACCAGAGCUUCCAGGGACUAAGCCACUACCCAAAGACUAUACAUGGACUGAACCUGGGCUCCGACCUCAUAGGUAGCAAUGAAUAGCCUAAUAAGAGCACCAGUGGAAGGGGAAGCCCUUGGUCCUGCCAAGACUGAACUCCCAGUGAAUGGGAAUGUUGGGGGGGGGAGGGCGGUAAUGGGGGGAGGAUGGGGAGGGGAACACCUAUAAAGAAGGGGAAGGGGAGGGGUUAGGGGGAUAUUGGUCUGGAAACUGGGAAAGGGAAUAACAUUUGAAAUGUGAAUAAGAAAUAACCAAUUUAAUAAAGGGAGUGGGGAAAGAAGGCAAGAGGGCAAGAGGAGGGGCCCAGCAGCCCCUUUUACAGUGAGUCAGGCCCACCUGGCUAUUGCCAGGUAACUAUGGGGCGGAGCCUAGAGAAAAUGCUAACAAAGACUGUGAGGUACUUUCCCUUUAAAAAAAGAAUAAAUUAACGUUUGAUAUAGAAGGAUCUAUCCCAGGAUGGGGAAGGGGCAUGCCACCUCUGGGCGAGUGGUCUUGGGUAUUAUAAGAAAGCUGAGAACGCCAUGAGGAAUAAGCCAGUAGGCAGCAUUCCUCCGUGGCCUCUGCGUAAACGCCUCCUGCCUCCAGGCUUCUGUUUCAGUUCCUGCUUUGACGUCCCUCAAGAUGGACUGUUAAGAUGGUAAGAUGAAAUAAACCCUUUCUUCCCUGAGUUGCUUUUGGUC
This is a non-coding RNA of Rattus norvegicus (Norway rat), 9178 nucleotides long. The record is from RefSeq and is a predicted model, not a curated record. NCBI's taxonomy places the organism in Eukaryota, Metazoa, Chordata, Mammalia, Rodentia, Muridae.